GAUGAACGCUGGCGGCGUGCUUAACACAUGCAAGUCGAAUGAUGAAGCCCAGCUUGCUGGGUGGAUUAGUGGCGAACGGGUGAGUAACACGUGAGUAACCUGCCCUUAACUCUGGGAUAAGCCUGGGAAACUGGGUCUAAUACCGGAUAGGAGCGUCCACCGCAUGGUGGGUGUUGGAAAGAUUUAUCGGUUUUGGAUGGACUCGCGGCCUAUCAGCUUGUUGGUGAGGUAAUGGCUCACCAAGGCGACGACGGGUAGCCGGCCUGAGAGGGUGACCGGCAACACUGGGACUGAGACACGGCCCAGACUCCUACGGGAGGCAGCAGUGGGGAAUAUUGCACAAUGGGCGCAAGCCUGAUGCAGCGACGCCGCGUGAGGGAUGACGGCCUUAGGGUUGUAAACCUCUUUCAGUAGGGAAGAAGCGAAAGUGACGGUACCUGCAGAAGAAGCACCGGCUAACUAAGUG
Molecule: ribosomal RNA, 466 nt
Filed under: uncultured bacterium
Lineage: Bacteria
Description: partial 16S ribosomal RNA
Rfam family: Bacterial small subunit ribosomal RNA
Source: RNAcentral